UCCUCUUGCUCCAGCAACUUCUCCUCUUGC
Molecule: non-coding RNA, 30 nt
Filed under: Homo sapiens (human)
Lineage: Eukaryota; Metazoa; Chordata; Mammalia; Primates; Hominidae
Source: RNAcentral